Long non-coding RNA from Solenopsis invicta (red fire ant), 867 nucleotides. RefSeq lists it as uncharacterized. The record is from RefSeq and is a predicted model, not a curated record. The transcript has 3 exons. NCBI's taxonomy places the organism in Eukaryota, Metazoa, Arthropoda, Insecta, Hymenoptera, Formicidae.
UCAUGGCAUUUGAUUGACAUUCGAUUGAAGUGUACCUCGGACAUUUUCCGUUGUACCAAAGUUGAAGCUCAUAACAGUGCCGGAGACAGUCUUGUAAUAUUGUAAACAUCCAUUAGGAGCUGAAACGGAGACAAUUUAAUCCUUAUAUUCCAACGUCGAUCGAACGCGUAAUCUGCAUUGGUGUCGACGGAUAUCGUGAUUGGCGUUGCUCCAUUAAAGUCAACGUAUACUGAAACGAAAUCUUACGUCUAGUUAAUUCCGUUCUUCUCAAUCUGUAUGAAAAUUUUCACAAAUUUGAUUUACCAUGCUGGUUGGUGUUCUCUCCGCAUAUUCUGGGCACCGUAGACGAACCACCCGAUACCAAAAACACAUCUAAAUCGCAAAAUCCAGUUGAAUUAGGCUGGGCCCAGGUGGCCUCCAGAAAAUCUAGCCGCAACUGCAAAUCGUUGCACCGUGAUCGUGCAUCGUUCUCCACCUCGAUAAGUGAUGGGAUAUCUUGGACUUACAAAGUACGUAUUAUUCAUGUUGGUGGUGGAGCCGCAAGACUUUUGAACUGCAAUACGUAUAAAUUCCGUCGUGUCAAUUUUAUCGUGAGGCACAUUCAUUUAUUUUAUGAUCGACAAAUUAUAAUUUUAUAAUUAAUUCCGUUAUGCUACUUACACACGCAGCAAGUGCCCAAUCCGUUGGCGCAUGGUCCCGAUGGAUUACCUCCGUAAUUAAUGCACUCCCGUCUUGUAAAGCACGUUCCAUUAAGUUGAUCGAUGCUCGACAGGCACUCGGAGUUAGCGAAACGUACGACGCUGAAUAGCGGGAAGACUGGGCGAAGAUGCAUCACGACGUUUAAAAAAUAUAUAUAUAUCUAAAUGA